GAUCCUGGCUCGGGAUGAACGCUAGCUACAGGCUUAACACAUGCAAGUCGAGGGGCAGCACGAUUGAAGCUUGCUUCAAUCGAUGGCGACCGGCGCACGGGUGAGUAACACGUAUCCAACCUGCCGAUAACUCGAGGAUAGCCUUUCGAAAGAAAGAUUAAUACCCGAUAGCAUAGUAUUUCCGCAUGGUUUCACUAUUAAAGAACUUCGGUUAUCGAUGGGGAUGCGUUCCAUUAGAUAG
RNAcentral lists this ribosomal RNA (241 nucleotides) under uncultured bacterium. RNAcentral describes it as "partial 16S ribosomal RNA". It matches the Rfam family "Bacterial small subunit ribosomal RNA", at positions 15 to 248 of the family's 1533-position model. The record is from RNAcentral.